UGUGCUAGUGAUAGAUUAAUUAUGCUGAAUAGAUUUGUCUUGCAGUUUCCAGACGAGUUAUGUAAUUUAUUUUUUUAUUAGUUUCUAAAAAUCUCUUCCGACAUCCUUCCGACACAUCCGAUGUGACACCCAAAAAUUUUCAAUCUCCAAUCUAAACUGGGCCUAACUAGGGCCUUAGACGGUCUCCAUAGACCCAACCCAAACACAAGACACAUUUGACGAUUUGCGUUGUGCACAGUAAAAGAGUCUGACCCAUAACCUGCCUUCCCCAACAGCAGACACAAGAGCUUUGUUUGCUGAAACCAAGCCGCCGCGGCGCCCUCCUCCUUUCGUCAUCGAGCCUGCCAGCUGUCGGCCUGCCAUGAGGAAGCCCCGUCUUGUCCGAGCGCUGUCCACAGCCUCCGCUCCACCCGUUGCCCCCAUCGCCCUCCUCCUCCUCCUCCUCGAAGCCGCCCUUUCUUGCGGCGCCAUUCCUCGUCGGGGCCACGCAAAUGCCACAACACUCCUCGCCGUCACCUAUGUAGGGGCUUUGCGUGUCGCGUUGCAUGGGGAGGCCAUCGCGUUGCUUCGGUCCAUCUAGGUGGAGGUGGGAACCAGCGGCGCGCACCGAGGCAAAUGGCUGGUGGGAGUGGGAGAAGAAAGAGGAGAGGGAGGUGCUUACCUGCUAGAUUUGCUUCACGGAGAGAGGCGACGUGCUUUUGUGUUCUGGUUCAUCCACUAUGCAAAAUGGGUUCCCUGUAUGCAUCUUCUAUUAGAGCGUGUUUCCUUCAGCUAAAUUAUCGUGGAGGACACAUUUUGCAUUUGAGUCCCCGUUUGUCAACUCUAUAGUCUCUAUUAGAGACAGCCUUACCUGCUUGGUGUUGCUUUCUGGUUUAACAAUGCAGUUAUCUCUAUUAAGAGCAAGGUCAAUAAUAGAGCCAAGUGCUUGGCUAUAAGCCAAAUGAUUAGAGCUAAGUUAUACCAUAAGUUGUCUUAUACUUGUCUCUAAAACAUUUUCUCUUUUCUAUUACUUCUCACAACACUGAUUAUUUGGACCCACCACUACCUAUGCAUCCGUGCCCAGCUUGGUGCUUACAUAAGAGUAAGCUAUCAUCUCUUUCCUCUCUUCUCUCCUCCACAUCAGUAUUAGCUUGACUAUAAGUCCAUUAUUGUACUUGCUCUAAGGUUUGUUUAUGAUCAUGCAUGUUUUGAAUAUUUUUAUUCACGGCAGGGUCCACCUGAUGAUGAUUCUGCAGGAUGCGAAUUGUGUGCAGGAUGCAUACAAGUGUCCGCG
This 1273-nucleotide long non-coding RNA is filed under the name Sorghum bicolor (sorghum). Its description in RNAcentral is "long non-coding RNA (SBIC_LNC014620)". Lineage: Eukaryota; Viridiplantae; Streptophyta; Magnoliopsida; Poales; Poaceae. The record is from RNAcentral.